RNAcentral lists this long non-coding RNA (1031 nucleotides) under Cricetulus griseus (Chinese hamster). RNAcentral describes it as "lncRNA (ENSCGRG00015036363.1)". The record is from RNAcentral. Lineage: Eukaryota; Metazoa; Chordata; Mammalia; Rodentia; Cricetidae.
UGCAAACAUGCCACAGCCAGGGGGUAGAGGUCAGAGGACAACUUUUAUGUAGUUCGUGCUCUCUAUGCCUUCUGUUUCCACCUUUAUGUGGGUCCCAGGUACUGAACUCAGGCUGCCAGGCUUGCACAGCAAGCACUUUGCCUGCAGAGCCAUUUUACCAGCACUGUCUUUAUUUUAGUUUUAGUGUUUUGAGACCAGGUCUCUCAUGUGUCCAUGGCUGGUCUUGAGUUCACUGUGUAGCAAGCAGUUAAUGACCUUGAACUUCUGAUCCUCCUGCCCCAAACUCCAAGUGCUAUGAUUACAGGCCAGUAUCACGACUCCUAACUUUUACGUCUUACCUCAGUACUUAUUUUUAAGGACACAAAGGCUACCUUGCUACUAUGUAAACAAUAGGCAGCAAUACUGUUCAUUAAGGUUACUUUUUAAAACUUUCAUGUUAAUUGACUAUCUGUAAGAUUAAUGGGUUGCUGUUUUGUGGAACAUCCCUAAUCCAGAAGUCCAGGGGGAAAUUCUCCAAAAUCCAAAACUCUGCAAGCACCAAAUAUUAUGUAAAAUUAUCUUCAAGCCAUAUGUGGUUAUUGUGAGACGCUGUCUUCCAGGUACCACUACCAUCACCCACAAGAGACCUUAACAAGAUCCUGCUGUCCUUCUGUCAUAGAAGGAAGGGGUGGGAUUGGUCAUUAGACCCUCACCUCCAAUUCUAGUGCCUCUCUCCCUUCUGCACCCCUGAGCAAGCUGCCUGUAACCCUGCUGCAGUGGUCUUUGGAGGUGCUGGAGUACACAGAGGGUCGCUGAAGGGGGCUUCACCUGUGUAGCUUCCUGGAGGUCAUCACCCAUGCUGAGACAAGAUAGGACUUUCAGUGAUGUAGCUGUUUGCGGUCACUCACAACUCCUGGUUUAGAAGAAAGUGAGGGACUGGCAUCAGGCCUGGAAACUGAAUGGACCUGACUGUGAAAUCCCAUAUAAAUGGAAGCCCUGGCUGGACCACACUGUUUGCUUCCCUGUCCUUUCCUGCUAGAGAAACACCUGUG